Molecule: long non-coding RNA, 1547 nt
Organism: Nothoprocta perdicaria
Lineage: Eukaryota; Metazoa; Chordata; Aves; Tinamiformes; Tinamidae
Exons: 6
Source: RefSeq, a predicted model, not a curated record
AGCCAUUUGCCACUGUUGGGAGAGGAGAAGAAAAAAAAAAGGGAAAAGAAAAAGAAAAUAAGCUCUGUGUGAGAUCAAGAUUUCAACGCAUUAUACACCAAAACAUUUGUUGCUAUUUACUUUUAAAAGUGCCCUUCUGAGGCAGCCCGUCUCGAGCUGCCAUCUGUUCAGGAUUAUGCUUUGGAACUCCUGGUUUCCCUGCAAACCUCCUGCCUCGUGCGCGGCUCCGUGUGCCCAGAAGAGAGAAGGAGCAGGGGAUAAUGGGCUGCGGUGAGAGGAAAUGCAGCUUUACAGCUGGAUCUGAAGUUCUGACCUGGUUGUCAAGGAACUGCAGACAUGAGAGUCCAGCCUGGCUCCAGCAUCCGUGACCUCCGAAGCAGUUAAGCUCCAUGGUGGCUCGGCAAGCCUGGAGAAACGCCUGUUAACUUCUCCUCUGGGAAGAAGAUUUUCCCCRGUGUGUGUUGAUAAGAUCUGGACUGAAUGUGCCUCGCUGCUCCUCCAGAUACUGUCGCUGAAGAAGCAGAAGCGUCAAAGAAGCCUAAAUUCAUCUUUGCAGCAGCACAACUGGCCUGUAGAGCCCUGAGCAUCUCCUCAAGGGUUGGCAGCUUUCUGCACAGAAACCUUGCCGGGGUGCAGGAAGGGACUAGGUGCAGUGCAGGGCUGAACUAGCAGCAAAUGGAGAUGAAAUAAAUAAUGAAUUGAUAGCUCUUCCAGCAUAAGUAUUCAGCAGUUCACCAGGCCUCCUAAUGGCUGUGAGGAUGUCAGCUCUAUGCGGAGCUGUAAUGAGGAGCCGCCGUGUCAGUGCUGGUCUGGGAAAACACUGGCCAAUAAAUAUUUUCCCCAGCCUAAUCACAUCAGGCAACGGAGCCAGCAGCAAGCUGUGUCACAAGGAAUGUAAAAUAUUGGCAGCUUCCCAGCCCAUUCAGCUCUCAUUACAGCACAUGGCACCACGAAGCUCCUCAUCUUUCCUCUGACAAUGCAGYGUGUGGAUGGGACUGUCAGUUAAGUGACAACGUGGCUUCAGUUCCUGGCUUGCUGCAGAAGCACCAAAGAUCUGGAGAGUUUCCAUCCUGGCAAUGAAGGAGCCACAGAAACUUAUUUGCUGGUGAAUUAUCCACACUUGGAAAUCUGAAGCCCUCUGAAUACAGCAGGAGAUGAACCAGAGCCAAGUUGUGCCCUGCAAAGAGAGUGCAGUGGGACUGGCAAUCAGAAGAGCUGUUGGAUGGGAGCUGGCCCAGUGCAGUGGGACCUCACUGCCCUUGUUGGAAGCUGCUUGGUGAUCAUGGAGCAGCUGGGAGCUGAGGAAGCCACUGCACCAGCAGCAGUUUGGCUGCCCUGUCUGAGCCCCUCGCAGAAUUUCCUGGAGUGUGGCCAUCGGAAAAGGUGGCAAAGCACCACAGGUAACAGGUACCACUUAUGGCACUUUGAUGUGGCCGGGGCUUUGGGUCUGCGAUGGGGUGUGAUGCUGCUCUGGCUUUGCGAUGCUGCCGGGUAUUUUUUAGCACGUCCCUAAUUGUCAUCCUGCUUGGAGCCCUGUGCGUGGCCCU